UACAGAGGUGGCAAGCGUUGUUCGGAAUUACUGGGCGUAAAGGGCGCGUAGGCGGCCUUCUAAGUCAGACGUGAAAUCCCCCGGCUUAACCUGGGAACUGCGUCUGAUACUGGAAGGCUUGAGUGCGGGAGAGGGAUGUGGAAUUCCAGGUGUAGCGGUGAAAUGCGUAGAUAUCUGGAGGAACACCUAUUGCGAAGGCAGCUCGCUGGGACGUAACUGACGCUGAGACGCGAAAGCGUGGGGAGCAAACAGG
Molecule: ribosomal RNA, 253 nt
Filed under: uncultured bacterium
Lineage: Bacteria
Description: partial 16S ribosomal RNA
Rfam family: Bacterial small subunit ribosomal RNA
Source: RNAcentral